UAAUACGGAGGAUCCAAGCGUUAUCCGGAAUUAUUGGGUUUAAAGGGUCCGUAGGUGGCUUAAUAAGUUAGAGGUGAAAUACUGCAGCUCAACUGUAGAACUGCCUUUAAAACUGUUAGGCUUGAGUUAUUGUGAAGUAGUUAGAAUGUGUAGUGUAGCGGUGAAAUGCAUAGAUAUUACACAGAAUACCGAUUGCGAAGGCAGAUUACUAACAAUUAACUGACACUGAGGGACGAAAGCGUGGGUAGCGAACAGGAUUAGAUACCCUGGUAGUCCACGCCGUAAACGAUGGUCACUAGCUGUUCGAUGUACAUUGGUAUGUUGAGUGGCUAAGCGAAAGUGAUAAGUGACCCACCUGGGGAGUACGCUCGCAAGAGUG
This 379-nucleotide ribosomal RNA is filed under the name uncultured Bacteroidota bacterium. Its description in RNAcentral is "bacterial SSU rRNA". It matches the Rfam family "Bacterial small subunit ribosomal RNA", at positions 521 to 896 of the family's 1533-position model. The record is from RNAcentral. Lineage: Bacteria; Pseudomonadati; Bacteroidota.